AUAGUUAUUUAGCAGUAUCGUAGCCAAUGAGGUUUAUCCGAGGCGCGAUUAUUGCUAAUUGAAAAAAAUAGUUAUUUAGUGCCCAUUAUAAGUCAGAGGUAGAUCUGCAUGCUGGCGGUAUAGUAAUGAGACAAUGACUCCAUU
Small nuclear RNA from Neogale vison (American mink), 144 nucleotides. RefSeq annotates it as U4 spliceosomal RNA. The transcript has a single exon. Lineage: Eukaryota; Metazoa; Chordata; Mammalia; Carnivora; Mustelidae. The record is from RefSeq and is a predicted model, not a curated record.